This 405-nucleotide unclassified non-coding RNA is filed under the name soil metagenome. Its description in RNAcentral is "partial contains 5.8S ribosomal RNA, internal transcribed spacer 2, and large subunit ribosomal RNA". The stretch from base 1 to 121 matches the Rfam family "5.8S ribosomal RNA", at positions 35 to 154 of the family's 154-position model. The record is from RNAcentral.
GAUGAAGAACGUAGCGAAAUGCGAUAAGUAAUGUGAAUUGCAGAAUUCAGUGAAUCAUCGAAUCUUUGAACGCACCUUGCGCCCUUUGGCCAUUCCGAAGGGCAUGCCUGUUUGAGUAUCAUGAACACCUCAACUCUUUAUGGUUUUCCAUGAUGAGCUUGGACUCUGGGGGUUUUGCUGGCUCACAGUCGGCUCCUCUAAAAUGAAUCAGCUUACCAGAGUUUGGUGGGUAUCAUGGGUGUGAUAACUAUCUACGCUUGUGGUUUUUCCACCAGGUAACCUUCAGCAGUGGAGGUUCGCUGGAGCUCAUAGAUGUCUCUCCUCAGUGAGGACAGCCCUUUGAAUGUUUGAUCUCAAAUCAGGUAGGACUACCCGCUGAACUUAAGCAUAUCAAUAAGCGGAGGA